UCGAGAAUAUUCGUCAAUGGGCGAAAGCCUGAACGAGCGACGCCGCGUGCAGGAAGAAGGUUUUCGGAUUGUAAACUGCUUUUCUCUGGGAACAAUUACGAUGAGUGUACCAGAGGAAUAAGAGGUUACUAACUCUGUGCCAGCAGUAGCGGUAAUACAGAGACCUCAAGCGUUAUCCGGAUUUAUUGGGCGUAAAGCGCAGGUAGGCGGGUAUGUUAGUCGGAUGUCAAAUCUCUCGGCUCAACCGGGA
RNAcentral lists this ribosomal RNA (250 nucleotides) under uncultured bacterium. Its description in RNAcentral is "partial 16S ribosomal RNA". It matches the Rfam family "Bacterial small subunit ribosomal RNA", at positions 355 to 618 of the family's 1533-position model. The record is from RNAcentral.